This is a long non-coding RNA of Oncorhynchus keta (chum salmon), 3713 nucleotides long. RefSeq lists it as uncharacterized. The record is from RefSeq and is a predicted model, not a curated record. NCBI's taxonomy places the organism in Eukaryota, Metazoa, Chordata, Actinopteri, Salmoniformes, Salmonidae. The transcript has 12 exons.
UAGAGAGUAGAGGAGAGGUCCAUCCUCAUAGCAGUGAUAGGAGAGACCAUGUGAGGAUAUGACCAGUGACUUGGUCUAUAGAGAGAAGAGGAGAGGUACAUCCUCAUAGCAGUGAUAGGAGAGACCAUGUGAUGAUAUGACCAGUGACUUGGUGUAGAGAGAGAAGAGGAGAGGUCCAUCCUCAUAGCAGUGAUAGGAGAGACCAUGUGAUGAUAUGACCAGUGACUUGGUGUAGAGAGAGAAGAGGAGAGGUCCAUCCUCAUAGCAGUGAUAGGAGAGACCAUGUGAUGAUAUGACCAGUGACUUGGUGUAGAGAGAGUAGAGGAGAGGUCCAUCCUCAUAGCAGUGAUAGGAGAGACCAUGUGAUGAUAUGACAGAGCUGAGUGACUUGGUCUAUAGAGAGAAGAGGAGAGGUCCAUCCUCAUAGCAGUGAUAGGAGAGACCAUGUGAUGAUAUGACCAGUGACUUGGUCUAUAGAGAGGAGAGGAGAGGUCCAUCCUCAUAGCAGUGAUAGGAGAGACCAUGUGAUGAUAUGACCAGUGACUUGGUGUAGAGAGAGAAGAGGAGAGGUCCAUCCUCAUAGCAGUGAUAGGAGAGACCAUGUGAGGAUAUGACCAGUGACUUGGUCUAUAGAGAGUAGAGGAGAGGUCCAUCCUCAUAGCAGUGAUAGGAGAGACCAUGUGAUGAUAUGACCAGUGACUUGGUCUAUAGAGAGAAGAGUAGAGGUCCAUCCUCAUAGCAGUGAUAGGAGAGACCAUGUGAGGAUAUGACCAGUGACUUGGUCUAUAGAGAGAAGAGUAGAGGUCCAUCCUCAUAGCAGUGAUAGGAGAGACCAUGUGAGGAUAUGACCAGUGACUUGGUGUAGAGAGAGGAGAGGAGAGGUCCAUCCUCAUAGCAGUGAUAGGAGAGACCAUGUGAGGAUAUGACCAGUGACUUGGUCUAUAGAGAGUAGAGGAGAGGUCCAUCCUCAUAGCAGUGAUAGGAGAGACCAUGUGAGGAUAUGACCAGUGACUUGGUCUAUAGAGAGAGAAGAGGAGAGGUCCAUCCUCAUAGCAGUGAUAGGAGAGACCAUGUGAGGAUAUGACCAGUGACUUGGUCUAUAGAGAGAGAAGAGGAGAGGUCCAUCCUCAUAGCAGUGAUAGGAGAGACCAUGUGAGGAUAUGACCAGUGACUUGGUCUAUAGAGAGUAGAGGAGAGGUCCAUCCUCAUAGCAGUGAUAGGAGAGACCAUGUGAGGAUAUGACCAGUGACUUGGUCUAUAGAGAGAGAAGAGGAGAGGUCCAUCCUCAUAGCAGUGAUAGGAGAGACCAUGUGAUGAUAUGACCAGUGACUUGGUGUAGAGAGAGAAGAGGAGAGGUCCAUCCUCAUAGCAGUGAUAGGAGAGACCAUGUGAGGAUAUGACCAGUGACUUGGUGUAGAGAGAGUAGAGGAGAGGUCCAUCCUCAUAGCAGUGAUAGGAGAGACCAUGUGAGGAUAUGACCAGUGACUUGGUGUAGAGAGAGUAGAGGAGAGGUCCAUCCUCAUAGCAGUGAUAGGAGAGACCAUGUGAGGAUAUGACCAGUGACUUGGUGUAGAGAGAGUAGAGGAGAGGUCCAUCCUCAUAGCAGUGAUAGGAGAGACCAUGUGAGGAUAUGACCAGUGACUUGGUGUAGAGAGAGUAGAGGAGAGGUCCAUCCUCAUAGCAGUGAUAGGAGAGACCAUGUGAGGAUAUGACCAGUGACUUGGUGUAGAGAGAGUAGAGGAGAGGUCCAUCCUCAUAGCAGUGAUAGGAGAGACCAUGUGAUGAUAUGACCAGUGACUUGGUGUAGAGAGAGAAGAGGAGAGGUCCAUCCUCAUAGCAGUGAUAGGAGAGACCAUGUGAUGAUAUGACCAGUGACUUGGUCUAUAGAGAGAAGAGUAGAGGUCCAUCCUCAUAGCAGUGAUAGGAGAGACCAUGUGAUGAUAUGACCAGUGACUUGGUCUAUAGAGAGGAGAGGAGAGGUCCAUCCUCAUAGCAGUGAUAGGAGAGACCAUGUGAGGAUAUGACCAGUGACUUGGUCUAUAGAGAGAAGAGGAGAGGUCCAUCCUCAUAGCAGUGAUAGGAGAGACCAUGUGAUGAUAUGACCAGUGACUUGGUCUAUAGAGAGAAGAGGAGAGGUCCAUCCUCAUAGCAGUGAUAGGAGAGACCAUGUGAGGAUAUGACCAGUGACUUGGUCUAUAGAGAGAAGAGGAGAGGUCCAUCCUCAUAGCAGUGAUAGGAGAGACCAUGUGAGGAUAUGACCAGUGACUUGGUGUAGAGAGAGAAGAGGAGAGGUCCAUCCUCAUAGCAGUGAUAGGAGAGACCAUGUGAGGAUAUGACCAGUGACUUGGUCUAUAGAGAGAAGAGGAGAGGUCCAUCCUCAUAGCAGUGAUAGGAGAGACCAUGUGAGGAUAUGACCAGUGACUUGGUCUAUAGAGAGAAGAGGAGAGGUCCAUCCUCAUAGCAGUGAUAGGAGAGACCAUGUGAGGAUAUGACCAGUGACUUGGUCUAUAGAGAGAAGAGGAGAGGUCCAUCCUCAUAGCAGUGAUAGGAGAGACCAUGUGAGGAUAUGACCAGUGACUUGGUGUAGAGAGAGAAGAGGAGAGGUCCAUCCUCAUAGCAGUGAUAGGAGAGACCAUGUGAGGAUAUGACCAGUGACUUGGUCUAUAGAGAGAAGAGGAGAGGUCCAUCCUCAUAGCAGUGAUAGGAGAGACCAUGUGAGGAUAUGACAGAGCUGAGUGACUUGGUGUAGAGAGAGAAGAGGAGAGGUCCAUCCUCAUAGCAGUGAUAGGAGAGACCAUGUGAGGAUAUGACCAGUGACUUGGUCUAUAGAGAGUAGAGGAGAGGUCCAUCCUCAUAGCAGUGAUAGGAGAGACCAUGUGAGGAUAUGACAGAGCUGAGUGACUUGGUGUAGAGAGAGAAGAGGAGAGGUACAUCCUCAUAGCAGUGAUAGGAGAGACCAUGUGAGGAUAUGACCAGUGACUUGGUGUAGAGAGAGAAGAGGAGAGGUCCAUCCUCAUAGCAGUGAUAGGAGAGACCAUGUGAGGAUAUGACAGAGCUGAGUGACUUGGUGUAGAGAGAGAAGAGGAGAGGUCCAUCCUCAUAGCAGUGAUAGGAGAGACCAUGUGAGGAUAUGACAGAGCUGAGUGACUUGGUCUAUAGAGAGAGGAGAGUAGAGGUCCAUCCUCAUAGCAGUGAUAGGAGAGACCAUGUGAGGAUAUGACCAGUGACUUGGUCUAUAGAGAGGAGAGGAGAGGUCCAUCCUCAUAGCAGUGAUAGGAGAGACCAUGUGAGGAUAUGACCAGUGACUUGGUGUAGAGAGAGUAGAGGAGAGGUCCAUCCUCAUAGCAGUGAUAGGAGAGACCAUGUGAUGAUAUGACCAGUGACUUGGUGUAGAGAGAGAAGAGGAGAGGUCCAUCCUCAUAGCAGUGAUAGGAGAGACCAUGUGAUGAUAUGACCAGUGACUUGGUCUAUAGAGAGAAGAGGAGAGGUCCAUCCUCAUAGCAGUGAUAGGAGAGACCAUGUGAGGAUAUGACCAGUGACUUGGUCUAUAGAGAGAGUAGAGGAGAGGUCCAUCCUCAUAGCAGUGAUAGGAGAGACCAUGUGAGGAUAUGACCAGUGACUUGGUGUAGAGAGAGUAGAGGAGAGGUCCAUCCUCAUAGCAGUGAUAGGAGAGACCAUGUGAGGAUAUGACCAGUGACUUGGUGUAGAGAGAG